AUUGAACGCUGGCGGCAGGCUUAACACAUGCAAGUCGAGCGAGCGGCGGACGGGUGAGUAAUGUAUGGGUAACUGCCUGAUGGAGGGGGCUAACUACUGUAAACGGUAGCUAAUACCGCAUACCAUCAGAUGUGCCCAGAUGGGAUUAGCUAGUUUGUGGGGUAAGGGCUCACCUAGGAGACGAUCCCUAGCUGGUCUGAGAGGAUGACCAGCCACACUGGAACUGAGACACGGUCCAGACUCCUACGGGAGGCAGCAGUGGGGAAUAUUGUACAAUGGGCGCAAGCCUGAUGCAGCAAUGCCGAGUGUGUGAAGAGGGCCUUCGGGUUGUAAAGCACUUUCAGCGAGGAGGCGUUACUCGAAGAAGAAGCACCGGCUAACUCCGUGCCAGCAGCCGCGGUAAUAC
RNAcentral lists this ribosomal RNA (406 nucleotides) under uncultured bacterium. Its description in RNAcentral is "partial 16S ribosomal RNA". It matches the Rfam family "Bacterial small subunit ribosomal RNA", at positions 30 to 526 of the family's 1533-position model. The record is from RNAcentral.